GAAGAGACAAAGGUAUGGGGAAUCCAAUUAUAACCUAGCUCUCAGAGCAAAGCAAAGCGAAAGUGCCUUAAACUCGCUAACAAAACAAAGGUCAGAGACCUAGAGUUGUUUCAGUUCUGCUCUGCAGGCCCAGGAGAUUCAGAACUGAGAAGAUAGCUAGGCUUAACUUCUUGAUGGUUUGAGAAUGAGGGAGGAGAGUGGAGGCAAAGCUGGGUGACGAAAGAGAGGCAUGGGGGAGGAAUUAUUACCCUAGAAACUAACAACAUAAAACUGUCAGGGUCCCAGCAGCUGCAACUCUAGGCCUAAAUGAGGUGAGCUGUCUUGGAGAACUGAAGUUCUGCCCCUUCCCUUCCUGACUUCAACACCACCUACCUCUUCUCUCUGGAGACUAGGCCUGGGGAUUACAUCUUAGACCGGGGACUGUGGAAGUUCAGCUAUGAAGAACUCUUUGGGGAAUCAUUCCCCCACCCCAAGAUUCCCAACUGGAAAUUAACUACUUGCUUGGGAAGAAAUGCAACCGGGGCAAGCUUCAACACCUGGAAGGCUGAGUUCAAGGAAGCCAACUACCCGGGUCGAAGUGAAGAAACCCCAGCAGACAGAGGUGGGAAUGUUAAAUGCUCCCUCACUCCCCCUCCUGUCACCCCUCACACAAGUCCACUCGCAUCCCGCCAGGCCCGCCGCCCACCUGUCAGCGGAGUAAUGAAUGCUUGCUCGGGGCCCUGGGCCCCCCUGGAGUCGUUCAUCACUGCCAGAACCGCCUACCUCUGCCUUCCGCCCGGAGGGCUUUGCGGCCGGGGCUGCAAGACCCUCUCUCCCCCCACCUCGAUCACUAAUUGUCAGAUUGAGAUGUUGAUUUGUCAGCUGGGAGCUAGCGCCAAAGAAUCUGCAGUAAAACCUGG
This is a long non-coding RNA of Heterocephalus glaber (naked mole-rat), 899 nucleotides long. Lineage: Eukaryota; Metazoa; Chordata; Mammalia; Rodentia; Bathyergidae. The record is from Ensembl.